This 1325-nucleotide ribosomal RNA is filed under the name metagenome. RNAcentral's name for it is "bacterial LSU rRNA". It matches the Rfam family "Bacterial large subunit ribosomal RNA", at positions 1561 to 2925 of the family's 2925-position model. The record is from RNAcentral.
AGUGGAUGGGGAGCAACCUAGUUGUGAGUGUGGAAAGGUAGUGCCAAGAAAAGCUGUCAGAAUGAUGAGAAUUGAGUCCCGGUACCCGAAACCGACACAGGUAGGCAAGUAGAGAAUACUAAGGGGCGCGAGGUAACUCUCUCCAAGGAACUCGGCAAAAUGACCCCGUAACUUAGGGAGAAGGGGUGCCACCGAGAGGUGGUCGCAGUGAAGAGGCCCAGGCGACUGUUUAGCAAAAACAUAGGUCUCUGCAAACUCGAAAGAGGAAGUAUAGGGGCUGACGCCUGCCCAGUGCCGGAAGGUUAAAGAAGUUGGUCAGGAGAAAUCUGAAGCUGGCGACUGAAGCCCCGGUGAACGGCGGCCGUAACUAUAACGGUCCUAAGGUAGCGAAAUUCCUUGUCGGGUAAGUUCCGACCCGCACGAAAGGCGUAACGAUCUGGGCGCUGUCUCGGAGAGAGGCUCGGCGAAAUAGGAUUGUCUGUGAAGAUACGGACUACCUGCAUUUGGACAGAAAGACCCUAUGAAGCUUUACUGUAGCUUGAAAUUGUGUUCGGGCUUCCUGUGCGCAGGAUAGGUGGGAGGCGAGGAAGGUCUGCUUGUGGGCAGAUUGGAGCCAACCGUGAGAUACCACUCUCAGGAGGCUAGAAUUCUAACUUAAUUAAGGACAGUUUCAGGUGGGCAGUUUGACUGGGGCGGUCGCCUCCAAAAAGGUAACGGAGGCGUACAAAGGUUUCCUCACACUGGUUGGAAAUCAGUGGCAGAGUGCAAAGGCAGAAGGGAGCUUGACUGCGAGACGGACAAGUCGAGCAGGGUGGAAACACGGUCUUAGUGAUCCGACGGUGCUGUGUGGAAGGGCCGUCGCUCAACGGAUAAAAGUUACUCUAAGGAUAACAGGCUGAUCUCCCCCAAGAGUUCACAUCGACGGGGAGGUUUGGCACCUCGAUGUCGGCUCAUCGCAACCUGGGGCGGAAGUACGUCCCAAGGGUUGGGCUGUUCGCCCAUUAAAGCGGUACGUGAGCUGGGUUCAGAACGUCGUAGACAGUUCGGUCCAUAUCCGAUGUAGGCGUGAGAAUAUUGAGAGGAGCCUUCCUUAGUACGAGAGGACCGGGAAGGACGCACCGCUGGUGUACCUGUUAUGAUGCCAAUCGUAAACGCAGGGUAGCCAAGUGCGGAGAGGAUAACCGCUGAAAGCAUCUAAGUGGGAAGCCCACCUCAAGAUGAGUAUUCUGGUGUAAGGUCACGGGGAGACGACCCGUAGAUAGGCACGAGGUGGAAGUGCAGAGAUGUAUGAAGCCGAAGUGUACUAAUAGACCGUCGGCUUGACC